GUGGAAGCAGGGAGACUGGUUGGGAGGCUGUUGCAAUAAUUCAGAUGAAAAAUGAUGGUGGCUUGGGCCAGCAUGGUGCAGCAGAGGUGGUGAGAAGUGUAGGUGGUGUGCAGUACAGCAGAAGAAUCAUCUACUGGUUUGUAAGGGAAGGAUCACAAAGCAUGGACACAGAGUGUAUCCAAACAUAGGCAAUAGUAUAGCUCCAUCUGAACCCCACUCAGUUGACCCCAAAAAGGUCACGCUGUUCUUGUGGCUACAGUACAGGGACAUCAUGUUGAUGAGACAGAUGACUUUUUAGAAUUUUCAAGUUCAGAAAAUUGCAUACCUAAGAAGCUGAUGUUAAUGCAAGCAAACAAAGGAUU
Molecule: long non-coding RNA, 362 nt
Filed under: Homo sapiens (human)
Lineage: Eukaryota; Metazoa; Chordata; Mammalia; Primates; Hominidae
Description: HSALNT0372921
Source: RNAcentral